GACGAACGCUGGCGGCGUGCUUAACACAUGCAAGUCGAACGGUAAGGCCCUUCGGGGUACACGAGUGGCGAACGGGUGAGUAACACGUGGGUGAUCUGCCCUGCACUUCGGGAUAAGCCUGGGAAACUGGGUCUAAUACCGGAUAGGACCACUGCCUGCAUGGGUGGUGGUGGAAAGCUCUUGCGGUGUGGGAUGGGCCCGCGGCCUAUCAGCUUGUUGGUGGGGUGAUGGCCUACCAAGGCAACGACGGGUAGCCGGCCUGAGAGGGUGACCGGCCACACUGGGAAUGAGAUACGGCCCAGACUCCUACGGGAGGCAGCAGUGGGGAAUAUUGCACAAUGGGCGCAAGCCUGAUGCAGCGACGCCGCGUGAGGGAUGACGGCCUUCGGGUUGUAAACCUCUUUCAGCACCGACGAAGCGCAAGUGACGGUAGGUGCAGAAGAAGGACCGGCCAACUACGUGCCAGCCGCCGCCGUAA
RNAcentral lists this ribosomal RNA (478 nucleotides) under uncultured bacterium. RNAcentral describes it as "partial 16S ribosomal RNA". It matches the Rfam family "Bacterial small subunit ribosomal RNA", at positions 28 to 523 of the family's 1533-position model. The record is from RNAcentral.